Long non-coding RNA from Misgurnus anguillicaudatus (oriental weatherfish), 703 nucleotides. RefSeq lists it as uncharacterized. The record is from RefSeq and is a predicted model, not a curated record. NCBI's taxonomy places the organism in Eukaryota, Metazoa, Chordata, Actinopteri, Cypriniformes, Cobitidae.
GCCUCAACAAGUCUUGUUUACGCGACUAUCUGUUCGGGUGUAAAUGUAUCGAUGUAGUAUCGAUGUCCCGUAAAUGUGUCCGGAGAUACGUAAUGUGUUAAUGUUUAGCCAUAAAUAUGUCCGGUAAUGGCCCGUUAACAAAGAUAUACCGCAUCUAUGUACCCAAUUAUCUUAUCUCAACUAUGCUUUACCGCCUUAGUAUUGCUUUAUAAGUUUGUUACUGUGAAGAAUACAUUAUAUUAAUUAUUAAAAACUUUUGUGUGGCAGCAUCACUCUCCUCUUCAGCAGGCAUUUGCAGAAAUGCGGCGGACAUUCAUACUGGUAACGUGGCUUCAUCGUCAUUUACUCGCACGGGGGCAUGCAGAAACGAACCCGAAAUUCAUAAAGUGAAUGUGUCUGCAACACCAACUUCGUCUGGUACUCGCACGUUUUGAACAAUGGGACGACAACAUUUAACUCCAUUCCCAAAGAGUUACAGUGUGUGAUGGUUUACAAAUGUAUACCUUAUUUUUUAAUAUUUGGAAGUAUUUUUAGAUGCACACCAAACUUUCACAGCUGACAUUUAGAAUCCUUUUCUUUUAAUUAGAGCCAUAUUGUACUGGUCAUAUAGAAUAUUGUUACAUGUAUACAUAUUGUUACUUUAUUAUUUAUAAUUACAAUGAAGCUUCUUCAUUUAUAAUUACAAUAAAGCUUCUUAAAUCUA